This 805-nucleotide ribosomal RNA is filed under the name Pluteus ornatocystidiatus. RNAcentral describes it as "Pluteus sp. JR-2021e partial large subunit ribosomal RNA". It matches the Rfam family "Eukaryotic large subunit ribosomal RNA", at positions 88 to 883 of the family's 3401-position model. The record is from RNAcentral. Lineage: Eukaryota; Fungi; Basidiomycota; Agaricomycetes; Agaricales; Pluteaceae.
UGCGAGUGAAGCGGGAAAAGCUCAAAUUUAAAAUCUGGCGGUCUCUGGCCGUCCGAGUUGUAAACUAGAGAGGUGCUAUCCGUGCUGGACCAUGUAUAAGUCUCCUGGAACGGAGCGUCACAGAGGGUGAGAAUCCCGUCUUUGACAUGGACUGCCAGUGCAUUGUGAUGCGCUUUCAAAGAGUCGAGUUGUUUGGGAAUGCAGCUCAAAAUGGGUGGUAAAUUCCAUCUAAAGCUAAAUAUUGGCGAGAGACCGAUAGCGAACAAGUACCGUGAGGGAAAGAUGAAAAGAACUUUGGAAAGAGAGUUAAACAGUACGUGAAAUUGUUGAAAGGGAAACGCUUGAAGUCAGUCACAUUGGCUGGGAUCAACCUUGCAUUGUGAGGUGUACUCCCUGGUCAAUGGGUCAGCAUCAGUUUUGACUGCUGGAAAAAGGUUAGGGGAAUGUGGCAUCUCUGGAUGUGUUAUAGCCCCUGAUUGUAUACGGUGGUUGGGACUGAGGAACUCAGCACGCCGCAAGGCCGGGUUUAACCACGUUCGUGCUUAGGAUGCUGGCAUAAUGGCUUUAAUCGACCCGUCUUGAAACACGGACCAAGGAGUCUAACAUGCCUGCGAGUGUUUGGGUGGUAAACCCAUGCGCGUAAUGAAAGUGAAAGUUGAGAUCUCUGUCAUGGAGAGCAUCGACGCCCGGACCAGACCUUCUGCGACGGAUCCGCGGUAGAGCAUGUAUGUUGGGACCCGAAAGAUGGUGAACUAUGCCUGAAUAGGGCGAAGCCAGAGGAAACUCUGGUGGAGGCUCGUAGCGA